This 3104-nucleotide long non-coding RNA is filed under the name Homo sapiens (human). RNAcentral's name for it is "HSALNT0381610". The record is from RNAcentral. Lineage: Eukaryota; Metazoa; Chordata; Mammalia; Primates; Hominidae.
UCAUAGCUGAAUUAUGGCACAUCACUCCUUUGCUGUAAGUUUCUUCAGAUCCUUUCUGGAGGGAGAUAGGAAAGGCAAUAAAUAAAUAAAUAAGAAGGAAAUGAUUUAGAGAGAAUAGUGUCUUCUUAACCGCUGAAGUAACUUCUUUUCUAGUAGUGGUGGUGGGGUUCUUUUGAUGAGAAACUUGUCUGAUGAGUUCGUUGUAGGAUAGAGUGAAGUCCUUGGGUAUCCAGAUUUCAAGAUGAGGUUUCUCUGUAGAUGAAGAGAGACAAGAAAGACCAGAGAUGGAGCUGCUAGGCACAGAGACAUGGAAAGAGACUCUCUGAUGGGAACUCCCCCGCCAUGGCUCUGCAGACCUUCAGUAACACGAACAAUCACAAUAGGUCUGGGAUUGUUGGAUUUCUGGUGGAAGCUGGCGAGGAGGCUGCCUUUUCUGUAGGAGAUAGCACAGGAACAGAGUCAGCUGAAUGGAUGAAGUCUCUAACACCUGGCUCACAUUUGAUUACGUAAGCCACACCUCAGCAUUUGGAAUCCUGGAAUGUAGCUUUUGUUCAUUUGUAGAAGGCAUCAUCAAGAAGACCGAGCACAUUGUCUGAUGUGAAGCCCCAACAGAGCUGCAGAGGGAGCCCCCAUCAUGGGUCUAUCCGUAGAUGCAGCUGCCCCUCCCUUCUGCAGUCCACACGCUUUUUAGGCAGGGUGUGUGCACUCCCUUUGGUUAAUCAACUUUCAUACCUGGGUAGAUUUUUGCCUCUGUAAAAGGUCACCUAGGUUACCUUUCCCCUCGGCCUAGUCAGGCUUCAUGAUCCCAUUCUAAUCUAAUUUUAAAUUAACUGCUGAGUAGAUUUAUAAGAAUUUCAUAAUAAUAUUGGACAUUUGGUUAGAGAAUUAUCUGCUCCACUUUCUAACAUGAAUGAAUUGGCCAUGAAAUUGCAGGAGUGCAAUUAAUGUCAUUAAGCAAUUCCUUCCCAUUCUAUUUAUGUUGUUCUUUAUUUUUCAAGGGAGGGGUGGUUUAAAUUAAUUUAUUGAUUAGGUAUUUUAUUGCUACUUGAUAGGAGUGGAUCUACUGUUUCAUGCCUUGUUGUUUCCAGAGACUAGAGAGAGUCUUUCUGAUGGUGAGCGGGGUGAUGCCAUAACCCGGGUAAAAGAUCCCUUUUGCUGCCUUUGUAGUCUAGUGGACCAUUUAAUAUGUGGGAGAGUGAAACUACAGGCAGAAUUCCGGCACCAUCUUCUGAAUACUUCAUUUGGAUGUACCUUAGGCACCUGAAUGCCAGCAUCCAACUGAAACAAAGCUGUGUUAAGGACCAUACCUCCUCUUCCACCCUGAUACCCACCUACCUCCUGCCCACUUCCUGUUUCCCUUCCACUCUGAGACCAGCAUCUCCUUCCACAUCACUGCUGUGGCCUGAUCCUCAAAACUUCAGUGGCUCCUCUUUUAGCCCCAUGUUGCCGCUGAUGUCACUCAGAUUCCACUGCCAGUCCCUUGGCUCACGCCUUCGGCAUCGAUGGAUUGAUGUGACAGCCUCCUCAUUGGUCUCUUUGUUCCCUUCAUGCCAUUUUCCACCUUACUGCCAGAAUGAUCCUUCUGGAAGCAAAACAGUUUCUGUCACCCUUUGUUUCAAGUCCCCUAGUGGCUCUCCAUAACCUUCCUGAUAAAAUGCCUAUUUCUUAAGGUAAUUCUGGAUGAACUAUCCUUGUUCCUGCCCUGCCAAGUUUCUGCCUGUUUCCUCUGCAUGAUACACAGUGAACAGGUUGGGCUUAUACAGUGAAGGAGGCAGGUAAAAAAACCUAAAGAUUUCACACACACACACACACACACACACACACGCGUGUGCGCACGUGCCUACUGACCAUCAACCUUUCUUUUAGGACUGAAGUCAUGGGUUAACUCCAGCUAGGACACUUGGGCUUAGAAAUGUGAAGAGUGUCACCUGGUCAAGCAAGCCUCUUGUUUACUUACUCUUCUUCCUACACUCCUUUUCUAGCAAGGGCUGGAAGCUCUCAUAUUCCUUCUUCAGAGUCCUAUUGCACCUGUUGGGUUACCCACCUCUCUCUUCCUGGAGGGCUGGGGAGGGAGGGUGAGCCUCACGGUGCCCAGGCAACAUGGCUUCCAGCAGGAACUGGAAGAGCCAAGCCUAGUGGGACUGGCCAGGCACCACAGAGGGCCAAAGUCGUGGCUGUCUGGCAUCUGAGCUCCUUUAAUGCCCCUUUCCACCUUUACGGUUCUCUUGGGUGGUGGAAACGACCACGGUGCUGUGUGGUUCAAGGCAUGACUAGUGGUUGACGCAUGCAAAGGUUCUGGGGAAUAAAAUAAGCCCGAAAAUGGCCAGAAUGCAUGAGGCAUCUGCCAAAAUCUAACCUAUUGUGAUGUCUGGCCCGCUUGGUGCUCUCCAAGCACUCAGAGGUGGCAGAGGAAAUGGAAUCCAUUUAGUUCCCCCGUGACUGCCCCCCACCAUGAAUAGCCUGAAGAGGGUUUUCUUGUGAAAGCGUCUGCUUCAACCUUCUGUUUCUGUCCCGUGUUUUAUUGUCUCCCCUCCUUUGCUGCUGCUAUUUUACUGCCUCUACCCUGACAAAGCACCAGGUUUAUUUUCUAGCUCUGUGUGUCUGCCCGCUUGGGUGUCUAACCAAUGUAUCAGCCUCAGCUAAUACAUUAGAAUUUGAAUAAAUGUAUAACAGCAGGUAGCAAGUGACUGGUGACAGGGUGACAUAUUGACUUAAUAUCUUGUGUAAUGUGAUAUGAAGGAUGUGCCUUUUGGUGUGUAUUUUCAUUUUAAUUAUUUUUUGUUGCUUUUCUUAGGCAGACACUUGUAGGCAGCUUUGAGUAAUUGUCUGAAAUCAUUAACAUGUUUAUUAAAUAAGGAAGCAGAGUGCAUUAUCUAGUGAAUCAAUUAUGUAAAUGCACAAAAAGCAUAAGAAAUUAGUCUUUAACUGUUGCUGAACUGCAUCCAUUUUCUAAAUUAUAGAUGAAAGUUGCUGUGUGUGCGUGUGUGUGUGUGUGUGUGUGUGUAUGUGUAUGUGUGUUGGGGGGAGGAAGGUAUAUUUAGAUUCAUUUCCCUUUCUUAGAGUUUUAAAGCAGCAACAAUUAAUCUGUGAUUUUCUUUGGUGGG